Molecule: long non-coding RNA, 17438 nt
Filed under: Gallus gallus (chicken)
Lineage: Eukaryota; Metazoa; Chordata; Aves; Galliformes; Phasianidae
Description: lncRNA (ENSGALG00010014652.1)
Source: RNAcentral
CGGAGGUCUGUCCUAGCCACUUUUAAGGCUUCUGCAUGUUGUUAUCUGUUUCAGCAAUUCUCUAACUUCAAACUCAAAGAAUCCACAGAGAAAAGUGACAGUGAUAAAGGACAAGAGAUGAUUUCUCAAGUGAUGGACAAUGUAAAGCCUUGGUCUUAAGAGAUAGGCUAUUGGGCAGUUGCUGGUCCUUUAAAAAAAAAAAAAAUCACAGAAUUACACAGAAUUUCAGGGGUUGGAAGGGACAUUUGGGUAUCAUUGAGUCCAACUCCUGGAUAAAGCAGGUUCCCUACAGUAGGUUGCACAGGAAAGAAGAAGAAAAAUAAGAAGAUGAAGAAAAAGAAAGGAAAUUGAAAUUGUUUAAAGAUGAGAGGUUACUGCCUUGUUCAGGAUCCUACUGCAAACAAAGAUACAUAGAUCUGAAAGGUACCUCCAUAUGAGGACGUAGUCUUUGUGGCCACAGUACUUCAAAAUGUCCCAGGGUGAUCGUGAGUGGAGACAGCAAGAAAAAUUUCACAUUCCAGUUACUGAAUCUGAACUACCUACAAUCUGAAUACGCAGUAUCUCAUAUGUAAUUUAGAAGAUAACUUCUAUGAAACCCCUUGCAAGAAAGAAAAAAUUAAAAAAUAAGUAAAAUAAAGGGGUUUUUUAGUAUAUUUGAAAAAGACCUAGUUAAUUUCUUAAAAAAUUGGAACUCUAGGAAUAGUAAAGAAUGCAGCGAUUUUGUAGUACUGGAGAAUAUAAUUAUUUCUUAGUUGAUUGAUGACCUAUUGUACCACAGAAACUGAGAAGUAUUUUCUUAUCAUUAACAGACCUAAGCUAAAAAUCCCACUGUCUGGCAGAGCACAACCCCUAAACCAAGGGAGUGACCUAUUGACUGAAGAGCAGCAGCAAAACUAACCAGUCUGCUAGCCCAGUUAAUUUCUCUUACACACCUCCCUUUUGCAGGAUCUAAGUACUAGAAACUUCAAAUACAAUCCCCAAAUCAAAACAUCUGCUGCUUUCCAUUUCCACUAUAAAUUUGCUUACAAACAUCCCUCCCAUGUAUUUGUGCAGUCUUUAACUCCUGUUACGUGUGCAAUAUUUCCCCUUAAAAAACACUGGAGUACAAACAAGAAUUUUUCAUCAUUUCUAGUGAUUUGGGGGUGGUAACCAUGACUUCUGCUAACUACUGUGCCCAUAGGAAUACCCUGUGGUGGGUACUGUUCAUAUUUGUCAUCCAACGGCUGGAUUAAAAUUUAAAUGGCUGCUGCGCGCUUCUUCUAUGAACUAACAUCUUUCUUCACAUUCUUAUCUCAGCACAAUUUUCUGGACAAUCCCUUUGUGGUUAGACAGUUUUUCUGACCCCCUUCACUACCCUACCUUAAUUUCUUGUUAAAAAUUUUCCCUGCUGUGAAAACCAGAAACUUUAUUCCAUCCCCCAACGAAAUCUUAACUUAGAAAGAGCAGUUGUAACAACGAUUUGACUGGGAGAAGAAAGAAAUAACGGCACCGUUGAGCUACUCAGCAGUACUCUUUCAUUUGCAGUCCUUUUGCUUAAAUGUUCAACUUUUGUCAGAGAUGGAAGCUGUUUGGAGCAGAAAUUCUGCUCUCCUUUUUGUUGAAAACUUGUAACACUAAUUCCUCAUGGAAGUUGUUCUAAAUUUAAAUGAGAAGCAAACCAUAACCUGAAAUAAUUUUGAUUAAGAGAUAGCAAUCACUCCAGACCAUUCGUAGCAGUUUUGGCUCUAAGUUACCUAGAUUCUUGUUUGAGAUAGAUCAAAAAUACUCCCAAAAUAAACUUCCCCGCAGUAUUUCUGUUAAAAUUAUAAAAAGAGCUGGAGAUGAGAAAUCUUCGAAGUCUGUGCACCAAGACAAGGGGUCAAAGUGCUCGUACAGAUUGAUAGAGAAUUCAUGUUUUAUCAGUGACAUUGCAAUUACAGAGGUUUGAUUUCUGUUUGUAGGACAAGGUCCUCUCACUGAUGGAGAACCCACCAGGCAUAGAAAGAAAGGGAUCUUUGUCUGAGCAACAGCACAUGACAGGCAUCCUCGGGACUGGCAGUGGCCCCGCUCCGCUCCUGUGAGCGCAGCCCCCCAUCAGUCCUCCCAGCUCCUUGCCAAGGGAACAAGGCACCAGCCUCUGAAAGAGUGGGCUGUGUUCACAGUCAAAAUAUAUAUAUAAAUUCAAGAAGAGAAAAUGCAGCCUCCCCGGGUGGUGCUCAGCCAGGCUGUACUCAGAACAAGCCAGUUUCUGAAUUACAGUGGGUAUCUUUCUCAGGGCUUAAGGGUUCUCAAAGGAAACGCUGGUUGUUUGUUUUUUUCCUCAGACGUUUCAAUGGGAAAGUUAAAAAUAAAUGAAACAAAGCCUUUUGGCUGCUGCUGUUUCAGCUGAUGCCUCCUUUAGCAAAACACAAACCUGAAUAUGUGCCUGAGAGCCCUUAGCAAGAGAAAAUGGGCUUCUCCAUGCAAGAUUUUACACAUGCAGUCUUCCUUCCUUAUGAGUGAGUAACGUUUUGCUUCUGCACACUUGUGUUUCCCAGGUACAAGUAAACACUUAAAAUAGCUCUUCUGCACAGCAGGAAAUAGCGUAUCAAGCCUAAGCUCUGCAAGGCCACUUGGGGAGAGUUUAUAAAUGCUUUCAGAACUGGUGCAAUAGAAUCCCAGGUGGAUGGCACCAUGCAAGGGAAUCCUCUGCCAGACCCAGGGACAGCGUUGCACCUGGAGAAGAAUGGGCAGCCAACUAGAGGAAAAGGGUCUAGGGAAAAGAAGGUAAACAGGACUGAUCCGAAGCUUAAAGGAACAGUCUUAGCCCAGUUAGGCUCUACAGGGAAUAGAUGAACAAAUAAAAAGCUGAAACAAUAGAAAUCCGGGAAAGAAAGUAAUCUCCUUGGCGUUAAAAUUGUAUUGAAUUCCUGGUUUUAUCUCAAGAGGGAGGCACAGAACAUACUGGCUAGGCACAAAACAAUGUUGGAGGAGACUGAAGGGAGUGGAGAUGAUUUCCAGGAGAAACACCAGCAGGCAGGGAGUGGAGGUAAAAGAACCCAACCACAACACAGUCUGCCCAAAGAAAUUCAACUCAGUUCUUGCAGAGAGUAGAAAUAUAGCUGUCCCUCCAAGGCAGAAUCCAAAGGAGGGUCCAGAGAGGCUGAUUGCUAUUAGGUACAGGGUUAGCAGAAAAUGCUCCUGCAUGGACGUGCUUCCCGAGGUGCUAUAGGAAGAAAGGCUGAACUCUACCUUUAUAGGUGGUCCAAAAAGAAGCAAGUAAUUAGUGGAGGAAGCAAAUGGCAGCACCGUGUUUUGAAAUUCCUCUCAUACCAAGUAGUUUCCUGUGGUUUUGGAAGAAUGGAGUGGCACAAGUGCCAUUAAUAAAAAGCACUCUGCAAUCAGAGAUCAUGUAAGGAUGAAUUCAAUAUUGUCCUUAGGCAUUUCACAGGAAGUCAGAACAAGUUUUUGAUGGUAUAAUGGAUAAGAGGAUUUACAUGCAGGAUAUUUUAAUAAAAGAUGAAACAGAAGAGCAUAGCCAAAGGCUGCUGCCCUAAUGGUCAAGGGAGGGGCACAAAGUCAAUUGUUCUGCAAAAUCUAUCACAUUGCCCAAAAUUUCAGUCUGAGAGUAUCUGAGAACACCCUGUGAGUGGAUGUCCAGGGAUGGAUAACCCACAAAAGAUGUAAACUGUAACAGAUUUCUUGAGAUUCUCAUAGUUGAUGAGAAUCUGAAGACUGGGACUGAGAUGACAAUUUGGACAGAACUAAUUCAUCCACAGACAUCCCCAGGGAUUCACCUAGAUCCUCCACAGCUUUACAUCUAAAGCUGGAAGGUGACAUCUUCUACGUUAUGCACAUUAAAAAAAAAAAAAAAAAAAAAGAAAAAGAAAAACAAAACAAAAAUGCUAGAAAUCAGCAUGGUCAAGAAGAGCCUUAGCCUAUAGAUUGUCGGUAUACAACUUGCUGCUAAUAAAAAAAUGGCCCCAGAAAAUCAUUUUCAUCCUAGUUGUACUCUCCUAUAGCUAAAGUUUAGGAACCACAAAUGGAAAAGGAGCUCAGAAAAAGAUUGGUCAUUAUUUAUAUUACUUUUUACCCUUCAAAAUACAGAGUAUCCAAAGGCACAGUCUCAGAAUAUCGUAUGAAGAGAAAAAAUAUCUGCCCAGAUAUGAUUACUCUGGAGACAAAGGUACUGUUAACACAUUUCCUAUUUGCAUAUGGAGACUGGAUCAAAAAUGGAUAAGCAUCAUUCUUUGGUUCUGGAGGAGGUCUUUGAGCAAACUACAUUUGGGAAAUUUUUUCAAAAGCAGCCUUUGCCGCCCAAAUAAUAAAUAAUAUACAGGCCUAUUUAAAAAGGAAGAAGGAAAAAGAAUUUUUCAGAAUGAAAUAUGAACAACACCUAUCACAGAUCCUGCUGAGGACAAGACCAUGUGCAAAGCCCAUCAGUCUACUAGCACAGGGUCUGUGACAACGUGAUCCUGGCACUGCUAUCCAGGUAAGGGAGAGCACUCGGUGUGAGACAGAGCUCUGUUCAGAGACAUGGAACAGUGAUUAGUGGGAAGAAAGGGUUAUAUAACAGUCACAUUGUUUGGGUACUGAAAAAUCCAGAAGGUCCAUACGUAUUUUACAGCAAGCUCAUAUGAAAAUCAGCACUGUAGGAGCUUUUAAAGGUUCACAGCACAUACCAAAAUCUGAUUGAAUUGAGCAAGGGAGGCCGUGGGAAAUUGCAUAGGUCUCCAACUCUCCUUUUCUUACACCCAAGCAGAAGAGAAGGACUCCUUAUUUACCUGAAUCGGGGAUUUACUCACAUCAUUUGGCAAGAUAGCAUUGCCACCAGUGGCACUGCCUUGUCAUGGACUGUAAACCUCUUGGAAACAGCUCAUUUAUGAACUCAUGCCCUCAAUUCCCUGAGACAGCCUCACUACUGCUAACCCUGUACUUAUAUACAUCAAAUCCAUCUCUGCCAGAUAGGGUCAGUCUGACGGAAUAGAGCAGAUAGCUACAUUUGAACAUGCAAGAUGUUAUGCAGUUCAUGAGGCAGGACUUGAAACACAGCUCCCUUGCCUCAUUACCCCUGAGAUCAACACAUCAGUAGAACAGUGCCAGAACAACACAGCACCAGUGUACAUGGAGUCAAACCCAGACUGUGCUAUAUUUUGUGUGGGUAUUCACAGGAAGGAUCAAGCCACAUUGCAGGAGGGGGCACCUGGCCACCACUCUGUCCAAGGAGACUUGGGGCAGGCAGAGGUCACAGGAAGAGGGGAUAGCUGAUCCUGGUAAGGGGUCACAGCUGAACUAACAUCAAGCGGGCUCUGUGUCACCAUGAAUUCCCUUCAGAGACCUUCAGAUGCUUUUCAUUUCCUUUCAAAUGUAUGCCCUGGGUUCACGCUGGUUGCUUGGAGAAGAAGGGAAGGGUGCCAAUCAGUGCACCAUCAAGCUUGUGCCGGUUAGAGUGGGGUACCAUGCUGGGCUCUCCUGUGCAUAAGGCUAAAACUCACUGGGCACAGGAGCACAUCUGGCUCCUUGUUCAACCAUCCUCAAGUGGCCACCAGCUCCUCCUGCUUACGACUACCUGCUUGCCUUCCCAAACACAAGACUUGGCCAGGCUGCGUCCAGGGCACAAAGGCAGCCAGUCUUCCUCCCUAAUCAGUCUCCAGCUGUGGGGUAUUCCUCCUCCUCCCUCCAAAAUCCCACAGCAGUCUAGCAGACAUGGAGAACAGCGGGGCUGGCUAGCCCCAGGCUUCCUGGCCCUACAAGAGGAAGGCGGCAAGCCCUCUUACACCAUCCUUCAAUAAUUUGCUAGACAGGCACUAACAGCUUCCCCUUCUGUUGCAACAAGCAAGUCAAAAACAGUACAGACAGAAGCAUCCAUCUCUGACAUUCCUGCAGGUUUUCUGUAAUGGAUCACUUUUGAUUAAUUAGACAAGCAAGUUUGAAAUAGCCUGCAGGAUACUUGGUGUGUGCCUGCAUCUCAGAUUGAAACAGGAAACUGAAUGUCUAUAAAGCACGAACAAAAAAGCUUUGCACUUACUGUUUCCCCUUUCACAGGGGUACUCAUUCCUCUGCUAUCCAUACAGAAAAGAAAAAAUGAUCUAAUACAUUUUUGUUAUUGUGCUAGACAAAACUCUUUUGACUCUUGGACUUGUGAGCGUAGAGCCAUUGCCUGACAAAAAGUAACACAAACAUACUGCAUACAGCUUCUCCUGUAGGUUUACUGCUUAGGGUUUUGUCUGUAAGAAACUGAUCCAGGCUACUGGCUUCCUAUAACUUGGUACCAUUUCCACAGCUGAAUGCUGCUUGUUAAGUGCAGAUCAUUGCUGACAAUUCCCACAGUUGUACAAUGCUGAAUGUGGUACCAAACUCAGCCUCCCAUGCAACACCAAUUCUGGAUAAGCACUGUGAAGAAAACUGCUCAAGAUGCUCACUGGGAGACUUUUUAUUAAUGUUAUACACUAUCCAGGACACAAGAACUCAAAAUACUCUUAAAGACAGUAACUUUCUCCAUUUUUUUUCUCAGGAAUUAUUCUAAGGCCUUGCACACUUUCCCACGCUUGCAGAUUGCAGGUUAUAAAUGCGUGGGAGUAAUGCAGUUUCGAUCAGUCAGGUAGGCUGGGUUUCUGUUAGCUGGCUGCAUACCUUUGAGCCCUAUCAGCACACAGUGAUCAGUGGAAUUCCUGGCAUUUUUGUCAUAGCAAUAGAGGCAGUACUUUACAGAGUAAAUACCAAUGACCUGCUGUUCUGUCAGGGUUCUGUACUUACCUUUUAUUUUCAAGUCAAAGGUUAGGCCUAUUUAUGUAAAUCCUCAGCCAUGGGCCAAGUAAUCUGACCUCCUGGUUUUCAUUCUCCUAAUUGUUUCAGGUAUUUUUCUUGAAAAGUUUGGUCAGUUAAAGCUAGGGAUUUUUUUAAGGUUCCUUUGAAGGGCUCUAGGGGCUUUCAUAGCCCACCCAGUUUGCAAAGUAGAAACAUCAGUGACCUGAUGCCCUGGGCACUUAUUUAAAAUUCAUUACUAGGAAAUAAGGUUUUGAUAUAUAGCCCCUCCAUUCUAAAGAAAAUCUGAGGGAACACAUGCAUACUGUUUUUUACUUUGGAUUAUGUGAUCUCCAAAGCCACAUAGAGAUGCAAUAAUCAAUUAUACUGCUGUUUGCCCUCCAUUUCUAAGAAGAACAUUAUUCAGCUGUAGAUAGUUUCAACUUUCCACAUGCUGGCCACUGCUUACAAUUCCUUUGUUACUUCACACAUUGUCAUGUCAUUUUAUUCAUGAAAGGGUGUCCAAAGAUCCAUAAUAUGAAAAAGAAACCUUUCAGUUUUCCAACCAUUUCUCUGAGAUUCAGCGCCGUUUAUAUUAUAAGACUAAAAAGCAAGAGGAAUAUCUUCUGAAUAAGAGUGAAACACAGCUAGUUUACUCUCACACAAAAGAGUAUACCUAAUCUAGAUUUUGUCCCACAACCCAUGAGCAUAGAAGUAACGUAUUUUCAAUGUGACCCAGACCAGCAAUAGAAAACUCCUUUUUGGGAAUUAUUCUUACAUCUUUUUAUGUAUAUUAGAACUUGAAUCCCUUAUCAGAUCGUUACUUCCUCUUCUGACCAUUGAUAAUAAAGUAUAUGCUAUUGCAAUUCAACAUUUACUUCUGCCCUGUUCUUGCUCCCAUUAAAUGUCACUUUAAGGUACACAGAGAAAAAGGAUAAUGAAUUUAAGCAGAAUAUAUUCUUUAAACGGUACUUUUACUAGAGCUCAUGCUGUCAUCUGAAAGCAGCAAGUCUGAACUGGAAUCUGGCUUCUGCAUUUUAGGCCUGUGGGGACUAAAUGCACAAUCAGCUGAAGUUUCAGCUUCUGGGACAUUCAUUAUAUGGCUAAUUCUCUAGGUGUAUUCCUUUUAAUUAUUGGACUAGUCAUUUGUCUGCUCCAGGUAAAAGAUGGAGAGCAAGAAACCAGGCUAAGUGAAAAGCACCAUUUACAUUCUUCAUUGCUGCAUGCUAUUGCCUUGAAUUACAAUGUUCAUUUUUUCAACCCUCAGGUAACUACAGCCUCAUUCUGAGGAGAAAAAAAAAAAUAUUUCGUGCAUCUCAUACUCAGCAACAAAGGAACACUGAGAAAACAUUAAGGAAGGAAGGUCACACACCUCCAUUUGAAACUGCUGGUAGCUAAGAAAUAUAGGUUAGGCUGGAUUUAACUGAAAUUGCUAAAGCAAACAGAUGAGAGACAGAGGCUUAAAAUAAUGAUACUGACCAUCAGGUGGAAAUAGAAGUCAAACUGCCAGGAAAGGUGAAAUUACAGGCAGCCUUGCAGGCCUUUGCAAAAUGUGGAGAUCACAUUCAGGAAAGAAAUUGUUUCUUGGUACUUCUCCCCACCUCUUACCAUCUCACAAGACACUUCCCUUGAUCAUCUACAAUUACUUAACAUCUCUGCAGCAGCUACAACUAUUAAUUGCACAACAAAUUCUGAAAAUAAUUUGGUUUUGUUAGAAGUGAAGGAGUUAGCAUCAUUUGGCAAGAGGACUUCCCAGUGAAUACAGUUUGAGACUGCUCUAAGUACUGCUUCCUACCAGAAAUCUCCAAAUACAUAUCUUCGUAUAUAUAUAUAUCUGCAAUAUCCUGAGUUGGAAGGGACCCACAAGAAUCACUGAGUCCAGCUCCUGGUUCCACACAGGACCACACAAAAAUCAAACCUUAAGUCUGAAAACAUAGUCCAGACACUCCUUGAACUCUGGCACUUGAGGUUAUGCCCACUGCCCUCUGGUGCAGACCCUGUCCCUAACCCCCAGCUGCCCCUCCCCUUGUGCCCUGUCGCUGUCACAGAGAGCAGAGCUCAGCGCUGCCCCUCCGCUCCCUGUGAGGAGCCGCCAUUAGGCCUCCCCUCAACUCCUCUGCUCCGGGCUGAGCACACCGAGAGGCCUCAGCCACUCCUCAUACAUCUUCCCUUCUAGACCCCUCCCCAUCUUUGUUACCCUCCUUUGAACGCUAACAGCUUUAUUUCUUACAUCGCGGCACCCAAACGCGCACCCAGUGCUGCAGGUGAGGCCGCACAGUGCAGAGCAGAGGGCAGCAGUGCUGGGCCUGGUGCCCCUUGGGUACAGUUGUCCCUUUGGCUCCAGGGCACACUGCUGGCCCAGGUACAGCUUGCCAUCAGACAGAACCCCCAGAUUCCUUUCCAUGGGGAUGCUCUCCAGUCUUUCAUCCCCUAGAAUGUUCAUAUAUCCAGGGUUACCCUGCCCGAGGUGCUGAGUCUGGUACUUGAAGUUGUUGAACUUCAUCCACUUGGUGACUGCCCAGUCUUCUAAUUGGUCAAGAUAUCUCUUCAAGACCUUUCUAACCUUGAGGGACUUUACAGCUGUUCCCAAUUUAGUGUCAUCUGCAAAGUUAGUAAACCUUCAAGUAUUUCUCUUUGUUAUAUCUUAAGUGCACCUUCAAGUGUAUCUCUCUAUACUCCUUUGUUGGCUUGACCUGAGCAGGAGCUGUCAGAGCGGUAGGAUUUAAACUUUCGAAGACAAGAUUCGUAGCAUUUUCACAAACCCAGGUGGAUGAAUCAGGCUGCUGGGUGCAAAGCCCAGACUUCCCAACCACAGACUAAUUUUGAAGGAGAAUGCAGGUCCAACAGCAUGCAGAUGUACUACAAAAUAGUUUCAAUUAAAGAGUCUAUACUCAGAUAAAUUUGGAUAUAAAAUACAUAGAAGGACAGGAGGUCAGUGAGUCAGAAGUAAGGGUAAGUGGCUAUGGACUGAGGUCCCCCAAGAUCCCAAUGAGUCAAAGUCCCGCCAUCUCCUUUCCCACCUCACCACAAAUUCCAGCUAGCUUUUCCAUGUCAGUGCUGGGCCUUGCUGUGACCCUUCUGUGAGCUGAUUUGGGGAGUUAAACCAGGUAAAAAGUAAUUCUGCAGAAAAAGCAUUAGGCUUCAAUCAGCUUAGCUCCCUGAACGGGACUCAUGACAAGAUCAGACAAAUACCAGAGCUGGCAAUGAGACAGGGCACAAGAUGUGGGACCAAACGGAGGUAGAUCCAAAUUAGAUAGAUCUAAACCUUCUUGGGCAUGUGCCCCUAGACAAAGAGCUCAGCUAGUCUGUAUAGAAUCAGAAGCAUGAAAAAAUCACCCAAGCUACUCACAUUUCUUUUUACACAGCAAGCCUCUCCUUCAGAAAAGAAGAGUGCAUGAGCACAUAUCUUUCUGAGGCAAUAAGCAUUUUUUCCUCCAUACAGGAAAAAGGACAUCUUAUUCUGUCCACCUCUCAAACACCACUACCAGCUAAACCUACAAUCUGCUUAACCCUAAUUUUUUGUACUGGGCCCCUAACAAGAUAUAAGAGCUGAACUCUAAGAGCUGUUCAGCAGGGCUUGAACAGCUGAUCAGAUCUCCGCCAACUUUUACUGGCUUGCUGAAAGACAAAAAGAACAUUCCAGUUCAGCUCAAUUGGACUAGCUAAACCACAGCAUUCCCAAUUGAGUCCAGCAGGUUUUGACUCAGAGCUAUUGUUCUUAAGCACAUGGUAGACAAAACUCUUACUUGCUUCUUUUUUUUUUUCUUUUCCUGUUGUGUUGUUUUGUUUUGUUUUAAAGUAUUGCCCCUCAUUUCUCUCCCAUUCCUGGUAACGCUUCACAAGAUUUUAUUUUUUAAACACAAGGCUCUUGGAACCAACAAUUCUACAGAUAUUUCCACUUCCCUCUGUAGAGUGUCCUUUUCUCUUUAGAGACAGAGAUCCUGUACCACAUUUGACUAAAAAAUAUAUGAUCCCUGAAAGCAUCUUGGCCUUACUCCAGAAAUGCAAACUGUUUUGUUUAAUGUCCGUGUAACACUGUCUAGAAGUCACAGAUAGAAACAUGAGUAAUUUUCCAUUGAUAACUCAUUUACCAGUAAAAACUUUUUAAUGUACUUAUCUCAAAUGUCCAUCUCCUUACUCUUACUCUUUCACAAGGCUUUGGAUUUUGUUAUAUGCAACCUAGACACAAGUAUAAUGCAACCAGCAGCCUAGCCAUUGACUUGGUUAUCUUGGUUAAAACAUCAUGGCGCACGAAUUCCUAGUGCACCUUGUUCCUAGUGGGCCUUGUUCUAUAGCCGUCCAGAUCAGUGUACUCACUGCAUCUCAGCUCCAUCACUGCCUCUAUGCAUCCAGAUUUUCUUCUCAGGAAAUGCACAGCAUGCACUGGUAUGAUGCAGGUUGGCACGUCCCCACAAGCGGAGGCAUAGCCAGAAGUCAUAGCUGUCCAGUGUAUGCUGCAGUGUACAGACAGUCCUUGUGUUUGGGACAAACAUUUUCUCUCAGAGAAGGUGUGAGGAUAGCACAAGUGAAAAUGCCCAUGCAAGCUUGCAUAGAAGCUCAAUCCCAAAAUGCUACUCAGCCUCUCUGAGCUCUUGAUCUAACCACCCUCCUUAAAUCCACAUGCCAUUCCACUCUUUCACUCUGACACAGUCUGAACAACCAACCUGGGCUUUAACCAGAAAUGCAUGUGCAGGAGAAAUAGAAGGUUUUCCAGCCCUAUCUCUGCUCUGCUUGGUUAGGGUGUGAACUGAGGCUUCAUGCUCAGGGGAAAUACCUGGGUCACAGCCAGUGAUGGAGAGAACCUACUUCAAUAUCCUUGGGAAUCACUUUUACUCUCCAUUUGUUACUCAAGAGCUAGGCUCAGGCAGCUGUAUUACUGCGAUAUUGCAACUGUCCCAGUAAAAUCUGCCAGCUCCAACUGAUCUUGUUACCCCUGGGGCUAUUCACCCCUUCUUGCUGGGCUGCUGGCAUGGGAAAAGACAGAGCAUCUCGGCAAGCCGCACGAGGCAAUCCUUGCCCUUUGGUACAUGCGCAGGAUCAGCCCAUUACAGAGAGCUAUUUCAGCAUACACAACACAAUUACGUCAAUAUCAAGAAACAUUGGAUUUCUCACCAACGUAAUUCCAUCAAAUCAAGAAAAAUAUCCUAUUUGCUAUAGCAGUAAAUUGACUCCCUUCCCCUCACAACAUGGCAUUAACCUUCUCUGCUCCAGAAAUCCUUUGAAUGAAUUUCUGGUAGCAGCUAAUUAAGAAGCUUCUUAACUAGCUGUAUGACUGGACCAAGUAAAAUAAAGAGUAUCACUGCUACAGAUGUGAAUCAUUAUUUGGAUUUCUGAAGUAGGCAAUCACAUUUUUAGAUGUGUACAUUUUUACUUCCAUGUACUUAUCUAUUACACAAAGCCUUCAUGCGUGUGUGUAUGGAGAGAAUGACACACCUUCUGAAUUCAAAAUUCAGAUGGCAAGUAGAUGCUGAAUAAUUUUUAACCUCUUAAAAAUGCUCUUUCCAUAAACUUGGUACAAGUGUUUCAGGAUUCGCCCAGGGAGGACAGACUAAGGGAGAUUUUUGCUACCCUGGCCUCUGUUGACAAAGUAACAGCUCUGGACCCUCUCAACUGAAGUAUUUCAGUUAAAAGCAGCUCCAGUUUUGAAGUUUACAAUCAAAGAAAAUACUAAGUAUUUUAAAAUAUAGGAGACAGGCCAACCCUCACUGGAUGACUUUGGAUAUUUCAGUUUCCUGCUGAAAAGCUUUGUAUCUGCUCAUGUUUACAACUCCUAAAAUGAAGCAGAUUCAGAAGUUGAAGUCUGGUCUGGAUGGCAGCUAUAAGUGCUUGAAAUGCAACUUGAGUGAACCCUAGAGGUGCAAUGUAUGGAAGAUACCUUCCUCAGUAGCAACUGAAAACACUGUGUGCAUGUUAGAAAAAAGAUGCAGUCCUUGUUCUUUGAAUACCAUUUCAAAAGCAUUUUUUCAUAUAAGAAUUUAAUGAAAAAUUUUGUGAAAAUAAGAGAAAUUGCAGUUUAUUUGCUGGGACCUGGUGGAACUACAGCACUGCACAGAUAUAUUCUGUUCUAAUUAUAAAGAGACAGAAUGUGUCUUCAAAAAUGUCUUCCGCCAUCCAUUAGCAUAUAAGCAUGAUUUACACUCUCUUACUAAGAACAGAGCCUCAUUUUUCUAAGAUAUCAUUCCAACUCCUUGCAAGAGAAAUUCCUCCCUAUUUACUUCCUUCUUAAACAAAUAAAUAAAGCAAAGGGAGAGAAUUUUUCUACAUUUAUUUUCCUAUCUAGGUGUGGAUUAAUUGAUUUAAACUGAUAGGCCAGAGGCAAAUUUUUGGAUUUCUAUGGUCUUACCCUUCAAAUCUUAGUUUAUACAAAAUGAAUGAGAGAAUGCAGGUCCACUUCAGUCAUCAGGAUUUGGGGGGGAAGGGAGAAAUCAAGAUCAUUUUCUAAGGUCUGGGUUUGAUUCAUCUCAGAGGCAAAUUAGUUUUCUUUCAAUCUCACAAGGCAAGGUGUAGAACUAUUCCAUCACUGGUCUCCUUUUAAAAGGAUUUCAGUGAGAGAUAUGAACUGUGCCUUCAUUUUCAAUCCAUAGAAGAGCUACAGAAGUGUUUCUUUAAAGGAAAGAGGCGUUAAGAAACGUUAUUGAAAUGUGGGAAAAUAAAUAACUUUUAUCCCUCGUGAUCAAUAUCACUAAAGGCAAGGAUAUUGUCAGAAGCAUAAAUCUGAGACAGAGCUCAAACUCCCCCUGUUGGCAUCUGGUAGGGAAGCAGGGCAAUACCUGAACACCAUCUCUCUUGUGUCUUCACAAAUCAAAUGGGAUUUAUUUAAAAUGAACAGGUACAAAUCUUCAGUUAUUUGUUCUUCAGUGACAGUCAGAGAGGAGAGAGAAAGCAGUCAGAUUCUCUAAAAUCUGUGCCAUUGUUUCUCCCUGCUCUUUGUGCUUGGCAAACCUUGGGAUAUGUGCAUGGAAUACAUCCACGUAACUCUGCAGGCUGAUUAAGAGAAGCUGAAAAAUAAGGAGAAUUAACCACAGGGUACAGUUCAGUAGAAGAAUAAAACAUUAAAGAAAAUAAAGAGCCUCAAGCCAUCCUGGGAGUCUGAAGAGGAGGGAGUAAGACCUGCUCAGUAGAGAUGACAGGUUGUGCUUUCGCUAAUAGCCUAUGAAUUUAUCCUUGAGUUCACAAGGCCGUGAUAACGCUAACCAUCAAUGCAUCCAUCAUUAAAAAUAAAUAAAUAAAUAAAUAAAUAAAAGCCAAAUAAAGAAAUUGAUCUAUGAAGAAGGUUACUAUCCAAUGGCAGACAAAAAUUUAAAAAGGAGGAAUUACAGAUAUUAGUCUAGCUAUGGGAAGAAAAUGACUAAAGUCAUGGAAUCCACCUAAUAAGCCCACUCACUUUAUGUCAGAGAAGCUACACAUCCUGGAAGGAUUUUUCAGGGACUGAGUUUCAGUCAUUCUACUGAAUGUAUUUGCUGUCAUUUGGAGCAAAAUCCUACAGUCUUCUUCUUUUUUUCUUUUUGCCUGUCAUAAUUAACUUCCCAGACUAUUUUUAUAGCUUUAUACAUGGAUUAGGGUUAGCACAGGCAGUACUGUUUGCCUGCAGACUGAAUAUAUGCUGACAUAUGCUGUGGGUCUUCUUGUUCCCUCCUUGUAUCUAAUGGUUUUACUAACUCACAAAAUUCAGAGGAAUGCAUCGAAGAAUGCCAAAGACAAGAACUAACAAGAAUGUCAGCACUACAGAGCCAACAUAACUAUGAGAAACUGGAGCCUAUUUGCCAUGUGGAUCACCAACACACGUCUGCUAACCCACUGAGUGUAGAAAUGUUACUUUUGACAUUGACGUCAAAGACAUACAGAUACUAUUUAAUGGUCAAGGCUGCCUAUCUUUAAGCUUGGCAUGUAGAAACGUAGACAGAUUGCUGUUCCGAAUGUGUUGUAGAAAUUAUUGUAGAAAAGUCCUCUUUAUAUAAAAUAACAUCACUGUGACAUGGCCGAGCGAGGAAUUCAUGUGACAACGGAAAGGGCUGAACAGCACAGUCUUGUGGUACAUGAGAUCUAAGAGCAAACAUCUCACUCCUUUCUAAUAAAAGGUGGGAGAAGAUAGAGGGUUGCCUUAAAAUAUAUCCAGCUUAUUCUUACCAAGGGAGGAAGCAUUUUGCAGUUUACAGUCAAAUUCUGUGCCUUAAUGCAUACUGAAUGCCUCAUUUCUCUGCAGCAGUUGUACUGAUCCAAGUGCAGGCCCUCAAGGAGAGAAGUGCUAUCCGCAAUGAGUACAGAUGGCAAAAUCUUGUUCUGCUGAAUUGACCCUGCGUUUCUACACUUCCUGCUGUAGCUAUGCUAUGGUAGCAGGAGGUCUGCUCUGAUCUCUCUUCUUGUGAAAUCAUUAUCCCUGGAAAAGCUAGCUAGUCAUUAAAUAUUAAAUAAAAUUAAACUCAGUACAUGUAGUUGUUCUGACAAUUCAUUUUACUGACAGCGGAAUUUUGUUCCCACUUUUUGAAGAAAAAUGUGAAGACACUACAGAAGUGUUUCAUCGCUUCACCAAGAAGCAAAUAUCCUUUCUGUCUGUUUACCCAGGGGAGGAAAAGUUAAUCACAUGCACACUACUCCACUAUGCUGUAUCAUGAGAAAGAAGCCAAGUUCAAGUAUCCAUCAUACUGCCAUAGUACCAGCAGAGACUUUCUCUCUUCAGUGCAACGCCCCUUAAACCUCUCCUCAACUCACGUUUGUGGAGGAAGGGGAUCAUGCACACAGGACAGGCAUCUGACACAGCCAUAAGGAACUCACCCAUUGCUCCCUUUGUUACGCCAUUUCUAAACUGAGCAAACAGCAUAUGCGCCAAUGACAAAAGUCUUAUUUUAAACAGCUAUUUGUCUUAUUUUAAAAAGCCAGUUCAGGGUAGGUCAUUUAAGAGAUUAUUUGGAAGUCUUACUAAGACCAUGGAGACUACAGGUAUGACAAAGACACUGGGGCAAAAUGCUAGGGGAUGGCAGCAGGCAUCUAGCAUAGGAAGUCGGAUCAUCUGCAUGUCCCUGGGGUAAAAGGCCCCUGCAAAGCAAUCAGUGACAGCCGGAUAUCCUUGGUUGGACAGAAGCUGUGGAACACGAAGUGUAGAGGCACAACGCAACACAGGUGGAAGCAUUCAUUUAGUCACUUAAGGUCAACUCAGAGGCAGAGGUUCUGCCAGGAUGUUGAUGUGCUAGAAAAAUGUCAUCCACAGGGCUGUGUGUCUCCAGUACCACUGGAAAGACACAGAAGAUUCCCCAUGGACAGCAAGGCUGCGGACAACACAUAGCAGCAAGCCCUAUGCCUACAUGGAAGCCGUUGGCCAGGAGUUGCCUUGCAGAUGUCAGCUCCAGCUCAGCAGGGUGACUGAGCACUGUGGGAUACUCAUAUAGUCCCAUGAAGCUGUUCUUCUGGGAAUCAGCAAUGAAGAACCAAGAGCAGCAACUUCUUAGACUGUGACAGCAGAAAUUCAGCAGUUUUGCUGUUGUCAUGAAGCUCUGUUCUGAGCAGCAGCACUUCAUCCCAAGAGAAGAAUAGCCACAAAAAUCUGGAAUGUGGUUUCACACCCAUUCAUGAGCUGUACACAAUGAGCAAAUAUCCUUUGAGCAUCUCUUACAUCCCUACACAAGAGUCCUAAGGCUACAACUGGCCUGGCCUUAAGACUCCCUCAGCAUCCACUCUUAUUUCUCAAAUAUGUUUAGAAAAAUAAGACCAAAUACCUCGUCCCUUUUUAGGAUCGCUUUGAAUGUUAAAGCAAGUUGGUCUUUAUUCCUUUAGAUCAAACUGUAUUUGUAGUUUCAUGGGAUUUUUUUUUCUUUUCUAAUGUACUCUCUGUAAAUGGCUUAACUUUACUUUCAGCCUUGAGUGCUUCUGUAGAAGCAUUUCAAAGUGAAAGAAUUUUUGAAAAAAAAAAAAAGUAAUUUUCUGGAGUGCUUCAAGAAAACUGAAAAUCACAUUAAGUGGCUUUGAAUUAUUGCAAUGUAUUAAAUGACUUCAAUGCUUAAAGAUGGAAUUUUUUCAAGGUUCUUCUAACUGUUCAAAGAGUGAAAUAUAUAGCAUAAUAGACCCUAAUGCUUUCACUAGUUCUUUAGUUUCAAAAUCAAGUGCUCUAAAUGAUUAUAAUGCUAUGUAAAAUCACUUUAUUCAUAAAAGGUGAAAUUCAUUCAUUCUGCAUAAAUCCUGACUCAUCAGUCAGGGCAGCAAGUGGGAAAUGGAAGAAAGUUAAACUGUACUGCUCAAAAUAAGCAGACUAGAGGAGUGAUUCAGAGUACUUAAAAUUAGGCUCCUGUUCUGAAUUGUCCCCUAGAGAAAUCUCUUUCUCCAAUAAUUUCAGAGGGAGUUUGAGAGGCAAGUGUCCCUUGACUGAAGUAAACCGUUGUGAACAAGCCCUUUCACUGAACCACCAGUUCACAAAUCCAUAAUAGCCUGCUUAUGGAUCCUCUAAUAUACAGCUUCAUCGUGAGGUUAAGGGAAAGAGAGGGCUUUUUUUCCACAGCUAGGAGGAAUUCUCAUUUUCCUGAAUGUUGCAAUCAUCCUUGAAAAACAUAGGAUACAAUCAGCAGGAAAAAAUAACUUUCAAACAAAAGAAAAAAGAGGGAAGAGAUGAACAAAUAAUAAAAAUUUCAGUGCCAAAGGACACUGCUCUUUGACUGUUGUCUGUGGCAGCAUGGCACACAAGACCUGCCUUUCCUUCUCAGUAAGUGAUGAAGAAAAACCUGCCUGCCAGUAUUUAUUCAUAUUUGAAA